AGGACGAACGCUGGCGGCGUGCCUAACACAUGCAAGUCGAACGAGGUUCAGCUGGUGGCAACACCAGUGAAGACCUAGUGGCGAACGGGUGCGGAACACGUGAGCAACCUGCCCCAAAGACUGGGAUAACAGCGGGAAACCGCUGCUAAUACCGGAUGUCCCCACGAGCUCGCAUGGGCUUGUGAGGAAAGGAUUCCGCUUUGGGAGGGGCUCGCGGCCUAUCAGCUUGUUGGUGAGGUAACGGCUCACCAAGGCUACGACGGGUAGCUGGUCUGAGAGGACGAUCAGCCACACUGGGACUGAGACACGGCCCAGACUCCUACGGGAGCAGC
Molecule: ribosomal RNA, 332 nt
Filed under: uncultured prokaryote
Description: bacterial SSU rRNA
Rfam family: Bacterial small subunit ribosomal RNA
Source: RNAcentral